Molecule: ribosomal RNA, 305 nt
Filed under: uncultured bacterium
Lineage: Bacteria
Description: bacterial SSU rRNA
Rfam family: Bacterial small subunit ribosomal RNA
Source: RNAcentral
GCCUACGGGGCGCAGCAGUAGGGAAUCUUCCAUAAUGGGCGAAAGCCUGAUGGAGCAACGCCGCGUGGGUGAAGAAGGUCUUCGGAUCGUAAAACCCUGUUGUUAGAGAAGAAAGUGCGUGAGAGUAACUGUUCACGUUUCGACGGUAUCUAACCAGAAAGCCACGGCUAACUACGUGCCAGCAGCCGCGGUAAUACGUAGGUGGCAAGCGUUAUCCGGAUUUAUUGGGCGUAAAGGGAACGCAGGCGGUCUUUUAAGUCUGAUGUGAAAGCCUUCGGCUUAACCGGAGUGGUGCAUUGGAAACU